RNAcentral lists this non-coding RNA (21 nucleotides) under Arabidopsis thaliana (thale cress). Lineage: Eukaryota; Viridiplantae; Streptophyta; Magnoliopsida; Brassicales; Brassicaceae. The record is from RNAcentral.
CCUCAUAAGUUGCCUUUGUAA